AGUGCUGUCAACUCGUCCUAUUUUAUUAUUAUCAAAUUAUUAAUUGAUUGAUAUUUAUUAAACAAUGCAUACGGACUUUGGGAAAUAUUUCAGUCAACUGAACAUUAUAUGAAGCAACCAGCCCAGCCGCAACUCUGCUGUUGCACCUGUUUGUGUCUCUAAACUCGUUUCUCGCUCCUUUUAAGAGUGCCCACAGCUAAUGUGCAGCAAAGUUGAGCGGAAAUAUGUAACUGUGCUCUGUGGAAAUGCGAAUGUAUGUAUUUUAAUUGGCCAUCGGGAAAAUGUGCAACUUUUCUCUUUCGGCGCAUGUACAUACAUUUCAUGUUACAGAAAUUGAAAUAGUGCGGAGCGGUGUAUUUUCACUGGAAUAAUGCUCGUGGAGUUGGACAACAAUGUCACUGGCAAGUUUCUCAUCAUUAUGGCAUGCAGCAAAUGCCAAUUUACAUAGAUAUGUAAAGUAACAAUUAUUUAUUUCCAUAGGGACUGCGGCCGGGCAGGCCCGGGCAAGAGAUCCAGCCGUCGAAAUGCUUCGUCUGGCCGGUGGGACGGUCGAGAAAACUUCAGAUCUCUGCCCAACACAAAACAAAUACAUCUGGAAAAAGAAGGAGUGAAAAAGUCACCUGCCCUGGGGGUGCGGGAAGCCACCAGCAAUCAGAUGAAAGAUCUCUAACUACAAGCCCAACGGACACGGAGACAUCUUAAAACGGGAGCUUCCCGGCAGAGAUAAUUUUGACAAUCUGUACAUAGAUCGCCGCGUGUUUUGUUAGCUGCACGGAAGUCUGGUGCAACCGUGAGUCCUGGUGGAUGCGAUUGAAGAAAUACAACUUAAUGGAAUGGAUUUCAUAGGCAAUGGCUCGCAUUUCGAAUUAUGAGCUUCCAUCAUAAAUUCAAGGAUUACUUGAAGCUUUAGGAGAUUAUGUCUUCAAACUUUUGCGUGAAUCCAAUUUGGGUGAAACCCCAAACGAUAAAUUAGUUCGCGCUGAGAGCCAAGUCAAACCAAGACAAGUGCCAGCACUCCUCCUCCUAUUAGAAGGCGAAUAGUCGUUCGCCUGACAUUCCAAUUAAUUCCGAGGGCGGAGCGCUUAUCAAAAGCGUUUUGCCAAAGGCCAAAGUACAAUAUUCGCAACGUCUGGUUCACUUACGGGUUAGUUAAUUAAUGAGAUGGAAUCCGCAGAAAAACUAGCGCACCAGAACGAUGGUAAUUCAUAACCGAAGGACAACAACAGCGGGAAGGCACCCGCCUUUAAAAAUUUAAGCUUUUGCGAAGGACCAACCCUGCGGUUUCGUGUUACGCACAAUCUAAUAAGGCUAAUUGCACACUGGUCUGGUCUGGCCUGGCCCAAAUCAUUGUAAACUGCGAGAAGAGGAAGGACACGCAGUCUACCAACUGUAGAUUUCGUACCUGCCGCAUCAUCGAUGUGUUUUCUGCAGACGUCAUCUGCCGCAGGGCAAAACAAUACUUUUAAUCCCCGCACUGGCACGUGCUCCUCCGUCGACAAAUCGUUCACACACAAACGGUUUCGAUAUCAAUCUCCAUGAAAGCAAAGAAAGGAAUCUGGAAGUUGAAGAUGAAGGAGCGGAGCGGAGUCCCACUCUGGUACUUAUUUAUUUGACCUUUCAUUUUGCAAGGAUAUCAUUUUACAUUGGAAAUGAAAUAAAAUAAUAUUCUUUUGAUGG
Molecule: long non-coding RNA, 1677 nt
Organism: Drosophila miranda
Lineage: Eukaryota; Metazoa; Arthropoda; Insecta; Diptera; Drosophilidae
Exons: 4
Source: RefSeq, a predicted model, not a curated record